RNAcentral lists this ribosomal RNA (402 nucleotides) under Anomaloglossus stepheni (Stephen's rocket frog). RNAcentral describes it as "LSU rRNA". It matches the Rfam family "Bacterial large subunit ribosomal RNA", at positions 1822 to 2422 of the family's 2925-position model. Lineage: Eukaryota; Metazoa; Chordata; Amphibia; Anura; Aromobatidae. The record is from RNAcentral.
CUUGAUUUAAUCAUAAGAGGUCCAGCCUGCCCAGUGACAUUGUUCAACGGCCGCGGUAUCCUAACCGUGCGAAGGUAGCGUAAUCACUUGUCCUUUAAAUGAGGACUAGUAUGAAUGGCCCCACGAAAGCUAUACUGUCUCCUUUUUCUAAUCAGUUAAACUAAUCUCCCCGUGAAGAAGCGAGGAUAAACAUAUAAGACGAGAAGACCCUAUGGAGCUUUAAAUAACUGAAACAUUUGCAUCCCACCUUAAAUUUCCGAAAUCUACACUUAAUUCCACAUCUUGUUUCUAGUUUUAGGUUGGGGUGACCACGGAGAAAAACCAAACCUCCAUGCCGAAAGAAACAUCUCUAAACAAAAAACUACAAUUUUAUGUAUUAACACAUUAACCUUAAUUGACCCA